GUGAAUCAUCAAAUUUUUGAACGCAAAUUGCGCCUUUUGCGGAAAGCAUGUCUGUUUGAGGGCACCAUUUAACAUAUAAUAUGCAGCGUGUGUUGUUGCACACUUUAAUGAGCUUUCCAAGAAUUUUAAAUUUUGGGUGGCGCAUAAUGAACAGCGGUAAAGUUUUUUUCAGUUCGAGGUUAUUAAAAUCUUUGCUGUGGUUGUGAAAAAACAUAAUCGCGCAAUGGUGGUGGCGAUUUCUU
RNAcentral lists this unclassified non-coding RNA (242 nucleotides) under Paraglomerales sp. Its description in RNAcentral is "partial contains 5.8S ribosomal RNA and internal transcribed spacer 2". The record is from RNAcentral. Lineage: Eukaryota; Fungi; Glomeromycota; Glomeromycetes; Paraglomerales.